AACAGGGCAGAAACAGAUGCACAGAUAAUCCAAGAAGUUUUUGGAAACUGUAGGGGACAAUUUCCUGGUACAGGUGCUGGAGAAACCAACCAAGGGCAGAUCUCUUCUUGACCUGCUGCUCACAAACCGGGAAGAAUUAGUAGGGGAAGCAAAAGUGGAUGGGAACCUGGGAGGCAGCGACCCUGAGAUGGUCGAGUUCAGGAUCCUGACACGGGGAA
Molecule: long non-coding RNA, 218 nt
Organism: Dermochelys coriacea (leatherback sea turtle)
Lineage: Eukaryota; Metazoa; Chordata; Testudines; Dermochelyidae
Exons: 3
Source: RefSeq, a predicted model, not a curated record